RNAcentral lists this non-coding RNA (29 nucleotides) under Rattus norvegicus (Norway rat). Lineage: Eukaryota; Metazoa; Chordata; Mammalia; Rodentia; Muridae. The record is from RNAcentral.
UUCUUUUUUUCUUUUUAAGCCUCUUCCUC